This 424-nucleotide ribosomal RNA is filed under the name uncultured bacterium. RNAcentral's name for it is "SSU rRNA". It matches the Rfam family "Bacterial small subunit ribosomal RNA", at positions 369 to 808 of the family's 1533-position model. The record is from RNAcentral.
CAAUGGGGGAAACCCUGAUGCAGCGACGCCGCGUGAAGGAAGAAGUAUCUCCNUAUGUAAACUUCUAUCAGCAGGGNAAGAUAAUGACGGUACCUGCACUAAGAAGCCCCGGCUAACUACGUGCCAGCAGCCGCGGUAAUACGUAGGGAGCGAGCGUUGUCCGGAAUUACUGGGUGUAAAGGGAGCGUAGGCGGGAUCGCAAGUCAGAUGUGAAAACUAUGGGCUUAACCCAUAAACUGCAUUUGAAACUGUGGUUCUUGAGUGAAGUAGAGGUAAGCGGAAUUCCUAGUGUAGCGGUGAAAUGCGUAGAUAUUAGGAGGAACAUCAGUGGCGAAGGCGGCUUACUGGGCUUUAACUGACGCUGAGGCUCGAAAGCGUGGGGAGCAAACAGGAUUAGAUACCCUGGUAGUCCAAGGGCGAAUUC